CCUACGGGAGGCAGCAGUGGGGAAUAUUGGACAAUGGGGGGAACCCUGAUCCAGCCAUGCCGCGUGUGUGAAGAAGGCCCUCGGGUUGUAAAGCACUUUCAGUGAGGAAGAACGCCUGGUGGUUAAUACCCAUCAGGAAAGACAUCACUCACAGAAGAAGCACCGGCUAACUCCGUGCCAGCAGCCGCGGUAAUACGGAGGGUGCGAGCGUUAAUCGGAAUUACUGGGCGUAAAGCGCGCGUAGGUGGCUUGAUAAGCCGGUUGUGAAAGCCCCGGGCUCAACCUGGGAACGGCAUCCGGAACUGUCAAGCUAGAGUGCAGGAGAGGAAGGUAGAAUUCCCGGUGUAGCGGUGAAAUGCGUAGAGAUCGGGAGGAAUACCAGUGGCGAAGGCGGCCUUCUGGACUGACGCUGACACUGAGGUGCGAAAGCGUGGGUAGCAAACAGGAUUAGAUACCCCUGUAGUC
This 465-nucleotide ribosomal RNA is filed under the name Vreelandella stevensii. RNAcentral's name for it is "partial 16S ribosomal RNA". It matches the Rfam family "Bacterial small subunit ribosomal RNA", at positions 338 to 795 of the family's 1533-position model. The record is from RNAcentral. Lineage: Bacteria; Pseudomonadati; Pseudomonadota; Gammaproteobacteria; Oceanospirillales; Halomonadaceae.